This 730-nucleotide ribosomal RNA is filed under the name uncultured bacterium. RNAcentral describes it as "bacterial SSU rRNA". It matches the Rfam family "Bacterial small subunit ribosomal RNA", at positions 771 to 1501 of the family's 1533-position model. The record is from RNAcentral.
AACAGGAUUAGAUACCCUGGUAGUCCAUGCCGUAAACGAUGUCUACUAGCCGUUGGGGCCUUUGAGGCUUUAGUGGCGCAGCUAACGCGAUAAGUAGACCGCCUGGGGUGUACGGUCGCAAGACUAAAACUCAAAUGAAUUGACGGGGGCCCGCACAAGCGGUGGAGCAUGUGGUUUAAUUCGAUGCAACGCGAAGAACCUUACCUGGUCUUGACAUAGUAAGAACUUUCCAGAGAUGGAUUGGUGCCUUCGGGAACUUACAUACAGGUGCUGCAUGGCUGUCGUCAGCUCGUGUCGUGAGAUGUUGGGUUAAGUCCCGCAACGAGCGCAACCCUUUUCCUUAUUUGCCAGCACUUCGGGUGGGAACUUUAAGGAUACUGCCGGUGACAAACUGGAGGAAGGCGGGGACGACGUCAAGUCAUCAUGGCCCUUACGACCAGGGCUACACACGUGCUACAAUGGUCGGUACAAAGGGUUGCUACCUAGCGAUAGGAUGCUAAUCUCAAAAAGCCGAUCGUAGUCCGGAUUGGAGUCUGCAACUCGACUCCAUGUAGUCGGAAUCGCUAGUAAUCGCGGAUCAGAAUGCCGCGGUGAAUACGUUCCCGGGCCUUGUACACACCGCCCGUCACACCAUGGGAGUUUGUUGCACCAGAAGUAGGUAGUCUAACCGUAAGGAGGACGCUUACCACGGUGUGGCCGAUGACUGGGGUGAAGUCGUAACAAGGUAACC